RNAcentral lists this ribosomal RNA (471 nucleotides) under uncultured bacterium. RNAcentral describes it as "partial 16S ribosomal RNA". It matches the Rfam family "Bacterial small subunit ribosomal RNA", at positions 28 to 507 of the family's 1533-position model. The record is from RNAcentral.
GACGAACGCUGGCGGCGUGCUUAACACAUGCAAGUCGAACGCUGAAGCUUGGUGCUUGCACUGGGUGGAUGAGUGGCGAACGGGUGAGUAAUACGUGAGUAACCUGCCCUUGACUCUGGGAUAAGCCUGGGAAACUGGUCUAAUACUGGAUACGACAUGUCACCGCAUGGUGGCGUGUGGAAAGGGUUUUACUGGUUUUGGAUGGGCUCACGGCCUAUCAGCUUGUUGGUGGGGUAAUGGCUCACCAAGGCGACGACGGGUAGCCGGCCUGAGAGGGUGACCGGCCACACUGGGACUGAGACACGGCCCAGACUCCUACGGGAGGCAGCAGUGGGGAAUAUUGCACAAUGGGCGAAAGCCUGAUGCAGCGACGCCGCGUGAGGGAUGACGGCCUUCGGGUUGUAAACCUCUUUCAGCACGGAAGAAGCGAAAGUGACGGUACGUGCAGAAGAAGCGCCGGCUAACUACGUG